Molecule: ribosomal RNA, 261 nt
Filed under: uncultured archaeon
Lineage: Archaea
Description: partial 16S ribosomal RNA
Rfam family: Archaeal small subunit ribosomal RNA
Source: RNAcentral
CAGCCGUAAACUAUGCGCGUUAGGUGUACUGGUGACCACGAGUCACCGGGGUGCCGAAGGGAAACCGUGAAACGUGCCGCCUGGGAAGUACGGUCGCAAGGCUGAAACUUAAAGGAAUUGACGGGGGAGCACCACAACGGGUGGAGCCUGCGGUUUAAUUGGACUCAACGCCGGAAAUCUCACCGGAUAGGACAGACAUAUGAUAGUCGGGCUGAAGACUCUACUUGAUGAUCUGAGAGGAGGUGCAUGGCGUCAGUGACU